AGUGAACUCUGGCGGUAGGCCUAACACAUGCAAGUCGAACGGCAGCACAGGAGAGCUUGCUCUCUGGGUGGCGAGUGGCGGACGGGUGAGGAAUACAUCGGAAUCUACUCUGUCGUGGGGGAUAACGUAGGGAAACUUACGCUAAUACCGCAUACGACCUACGGGUGAAAGCAGGGGACCUUCGGGCCUUGCGCGAUUGAAUGAGCCGAUGUCGGAUUAGCUAGUUGGCGGGGUAAAGGCCCACCAAGGCGACGAUCCGUAGCUGGUCUGAGAGGAUGAUCAGCCACACUGAAACUGAGACACGGUCCAGACUCCUACGGGAGGCAGCAGUGGGGAAUAUUGGACAAUGGGCGCAAGCCUGAUCCAGCCAUACCGCGUGGGUGAAGAAGGCCUUCGGGUUGUAAAGCCCUUUUGUUGGGAAAGAAAUCCAGCUGGCUAAUACCCGGUUGGGAUGACGGUACCCAAAGAAUAAGCACCGGCUAACUUCGUGCCAGCAGCCGCCGCCG
RNAcentral lists this ribosomal RNA (506 nucleotides) under uncultured bacterium. RNAcentral's name for it is "partial 16S ribosomal RNA". It matches the Rfam family "Bacterial small subunit ribosomal RNA", at positions 29 to 523 of the family's 1533-position model. The record is from RNAcentral.